GGUGUGGGGGUGCUGGCAGGGUGCAGAGGGGCUGCUGGCAGAAGCAGCUCAUUGGACUCCUCAGCCCAGGAGCCAACCGAGAUCGCUGCAGAGAACAGGAUCCUGGGUCCCUGGGCUGAGGCAUGUACACUGCUCACCAGGUGCCCUUCCCAGGACCCUUGACAUCUAGGGUCCCAAGGGCUGCCACCCCUCAGCCCUGAGUCUGGGGUUCCAUGCCACCCCUAUGUCCUCCCAGAGCAGUGUCUGGCUUUUCAGGUCUCACUCUGUGGUCACAUCCUUGUGGGUCCUCUGACCCCCACAGCCUCAGCCAGUGCAGCUGUGGUGUCCUUGAGGCUAGACAGGCCAGCCCACUACACCCAUGUAUUACCAGAAGUCCCUGGCUGCCCCCAGCUGUUGGGAAGAGUGAGUAUCUGGGGGUGACUUUCACAAGGCCAUGCCAAUGGGGACCAAGACAGUGAACUCUGGGGCCUCAGGCCAGGACAAGCGCCCACAGCCUGGGAGCCUGGGACCUGAACCUGGGAUAGGGGAAGCUCAGCCGACCUGCAGGUGGCAGCAUCCUGGCCCCAUGAGGACUCCAGCACAGUCUCCUGCUGUGAUGACCCUGAGCCAUCCCCGCAACAGCCCCGCCCACUCACCGGACAAGCUCAAGGCACACCUGGCUGGAGACACUCACGAAACUGCGUGAGUGUCAGGAAUCCCCUGUCGGCGCCGCCUGUGGGCACCUGUCUUCCGCUCAGCAUUGCAAACUGCAUGGACUUCUAUUUACCCAUCAGGAUGAGUAAUUUACAGAUCACUUAAGGAUCUUGUUGAAACACAGACGUGGAUUCAGUAGAUCUGGAGAUGCCAAGAUUCUGCAUUUGUUACAAGCUCCCAGGAAGCCAGGAUCCAGAGAAGUGAAGCCAUUUGCUCAAAUUCAUAAUGUUCUUAAGUGGGAAACCAAGAUUUUGAAUCCAGAGUCUGUUGACAUAUUACAUAGCGUCUAUUGAAUUCUGCAUCAUUUGUAAUGAAAACUUAACUCCCAAUCCUAAAACAAGGAGGAAGAAGAGCGGGAAGGGUCACAGCAUCUCACCAUCCAGCCAGAGCACAGUGUAUGCCAGUGGUGGAGAAAUGGGUGAGCCCCAAGAGCUAGUUGUUGCCUUGGAUGGUCAGAGAAUGAGUCUCUUAUUUCAUCAUGGACCACAGUAGCAGCCUUAGGGGCAGCAUUCAUGUGCUGUUGCUCAGCCUUCACAGCAAAGAAAGCUAUAGGCUGAUCCCUUUAUGAAGCACGGUGAUCCCUGUCUUAACUUUUGUUACCCUGAGGACUUCAGAGGCCAUGGUUAUUGGAAUAAGGAGAUGUACUCACAAUAACCAGUGUAUGGCAUGAGGAUCUGGCUAUGAUGUCAAAAAUUAAAAGCUGAAAUCCCAGUGAUUCCCAUCUGAGUCAUGGGAACACCUCCACCUCAUCCUGGAAGUAACCACUUGUCGCGUUUAUGCGUGUUCUAUGCUGGGAGAAGAAAUAGCCCUUUGAAUUCGCAAGCCUGGAUUCAGAUCCUGAUUCCACAACUCAGUAGCCUUGAGGGACACUUUUCCACGAAGUUUCUGAGAUCAGCACACUGGGUAACACCACGGAAUGGAAAGAAAAGACUUUGGGAGAAAGAAGAUUUCAUGGACUGAUGAAAUACGUAAGCUCAGGGACUACAGCAGAGAAGCAGCAGGUGGCAGCAUUCCAGAUCACUUGGAAGUCAAAAAGGUCCUGAUUAACCUAGGCUUGCAAUGAUGUACUCCAAAGGAUGAGUCUAGGUUUCUAAAGUCCCAAUACCCACUGCAUUAAGAGGUUAAAGAAAUAAAACUGAUUUGCUGUGGCAGCAUCAAUAUGACUGGUGUCUUAUAAAAAGGGGAAAUAUGUACACGGAGAUAUGCACAGAGGGAGAACACCAUGUGAAGAUAAAGGCAGAGACCAUCUGCUUCUAUUAAUGCAAAUCAAGGAGCACCAAAGAUGCCUGCAAACCACUACAAGCUAAGACAGAGGCAUGGAACUGAUUCUCUUACUCACAGCCCUCAGAAGAAACCAAGUAUGUGGACACCUUGACUUUGGCGCUCCAGAACUGUAAGACGAUACAUGCCUGGUUUCUAAGUCAACCAGGCAGUAGUUCCUUGUUUCAGCAGCCCUUGGAAGCGAAUACAACACCCCAGCCUGGGUGAACCAAUUCUGCCCACUGAUGGGAACUGAAUGGAGGAUUUCAGGCCUGAAGGAAGAGAUGGAGUUUUGCUUUGUCACCCAGGCUGGAGUGCAGUGGUGUGAUCUCAGCUCACUGCAACCUCCGUCUCCCGGAUUCAAGCAAUUCCCCUGCCUCAGCCUCCUGAAUACCUGGGAUUACAGAUGGAGUCUGGCUCUGUCACUCAGAAUGGAGUGCAGUAGCAGGAUCUCGUUUCCCUGCAACCUCCACCUCCCAGGUUCAAGCGAUUCUCCUGCCUCAGCCUUUUGAGUAACCGGGACUACAGAUAUUGAAAGAUCAUCACAGAAAUGUGAUUACUGUUGUGGACAAACAUCUCAGCACCUAAUAAGGUCUCCUGAAAAAAAUGCAUUUGCAACAAAAAUGAUUGCAUGCCCUUCAUCUGAAUGCAUGAUGAACUUGAAAAAGAUACAAAAGUCAUUAGGUGCUGGUGACCAUCAUGCGAUCCAAAGUCACUUAGAGAGAAACCUGAAAAGGAAAGCCAUGUUCAACAAACACAGGCCCAGGGCGUCUAACGUCAGACAAAGAAGUAUUACUUCCAGGGUGGGUUCAGAAAUCACCUGUUCAGACAAACGUCGUGCUGCCAGACACAUACACCACUGGACUUACUCCUUUGAGCCUUUUGAAAAUCUGCCAGAGGUGAGUUUUCCCACUUAUUUGGAGAAAAAAUUUCACUGGAGUGCUUUUCCUGGAAGUAGGUUUGGAGGUGUCCUAUAGAGAGCAUGUACACUUACCCUGGUCUUUUAUUCCAGUACAAAAGGCCAGAUUUCCUGGAGAUGGGAAGGUAAUUUUAAAUAGCAGAAUAUGCCUUCAAAGGCCAUUAUCAAGUCUGACCUAAACUCUAGGUUGGCCCUGAUCAUUGUGCCUCUUAGCUGUGCCCUUUGCUGUAAUGAUCAGUUCACAUGCUGCCCCCAUCAUCACAAAGACACCCUCUCAAGCUGCGCAAGUCAGACUGGGUCUGUCAACUUCUUCCUUCCUGAUGCCCAUAAUGAGAUAAGAGGUGAACGAAAUGUACUUCUCUGUAGACGGUUAUAUAACAGGGGGCCAUCUGUGACCCUGCUCCAAGGCAGAGCAUACAUGCUCCUCAUCUGUCCCUCCUACUCAUUUCUCAAUGAUGGCUCCAGAUGUAGAACUAAAGUGAUUUCUGAGGUUGCCUGUUUGGAAUACCCAAACAUUACAGAAUAUCAGAAGAAAAUAAGCCAGUAUUGUUCUUCAGAGGGAAUACCAAGAACUUGAAUUCAAGAGCUUUUCUAAACUUUCCUGGAUAGUCUCAAUUGUCAAGUAAAAAUUGGCACUCAGUGCUGGUAAGUGUGUGGCUCCGUGGGUGCCCUUUGUGUAUCCAGGUGAUAAGAAUGUAAAUCUACAUACUUUGGACAGCUGUUUGGUAAUGGGUUUCAAGCGUUUAAAGAAUAUGUCAUUUUUUUAGCCUGGUACUUUCACCCCCAUUCUAAUAAAAUGGUCUGAAAUUCAGACAGAGCUUUAUGGAAAAAGGUGGUCAUUACUGUGAAACCGUGGAAACGAACUAAAAUAGCCAACAUUUAGGGAACCAGUAAGUCCUUUUUGCCAAAUUCCUCAAUGAAAUAUUUGAAGCCAUGUGAAAUGAAGUUCACAAAGAAUUUGUUCUGGGAAAAAUGCUAAUGUUCUAAGGACUCACUCAAAAAACAAAACAUAAAAUUAAAUAUACAGUAUAGUCUCAAGUUAAAAUUUGUAAAUGUUCCACAAAGACAGCAAGAACUAGACCAAAAUGUUCAAGGAACAGACCAACAUGUUCAGGCCGUAAGAUUACAAGUGAGUUAACUUAAUCUCUUCUAUCUUUUUGUCAUUGUCUCAAUGUGCAUGUAUUACUUUUAUACAUUAGAAAAGUGUUGCUUUGAAAAUCUAAUAUUUGGUGAUAAAAGUCAGAAGACUAACUUCCUGGGGGUAAGGGGACGCUAUUGAUUAGAAAGGAACACGAGGAAACUUCCUGGAGUGAUGGGAAUAUUCUGUAUCUUAAUUUGAGUGGUGGCUAGAUGGUUUGUACACAAACAAAAAAUCCACUGGAUUGUACUACCAGUGUGUGUGUACUCCAUUUGCAACAAAGCCAUACAUUUUGCUUCCAUUUUUA
Molecule: non-coding RNA, 4317 nt
Organism: Callithrix jacchus (white-tufted-ear marmoset)
Lineage: Eukaryota; Metazoa; Chordata; Mammalia; Primates; Cebidae
Source: RefSeq, a predicted model, not a curated record